GAUGGUUCGAUUAGUCUUUCGCCCCUAUACCCAGUUCAUACGAUCGAUUUGCACGUCAGAAUCGCUACGGACCUCCAUCAGGGUUUCCCCUGACUUCAUCCUGACCAGGCAUAGUUCACCAUCUUUCGGGUCCCAGCGUGUACGCUCUUGGUGCGCCACAACUUGCAAUAAGUAUGCAACGCCCCGGGAAUGCGAGGUAACAUAAAUAACGUAACCCAUCUUCCCUUUAUAAAAUAUAAUG
This 241-nucleotide ribosomal RNA is filed under the name Blackburnia pukalaina. RNAcentral's name for it is "partial 28S ribosomal RNA". The record is from RNAcentral. Lineage: Eukaryota; Metazoa; Arthropoda; Insecta; Coleoptera; Carabidae.